GUAACUGACGCUGAGGGACGAAAGCUAGGGGAGCGAAAGGGAUUAGAUACCCCUGUAGUCCUAGCUGUAAACGAUGGAUACUAGGUGUUGGACGUAUCGACCCGUUCAGUACCGCAGCCAACGCGAUAAGUAUCCCGCCUGGGGAGUACGCACGCAAGUGUGAAACUCAAAGGAAUUGACGGGGGCCCGCACAAGCGGUGGAGUAUGUGGUUUAAUUCGAUGCAACGCGAAGAACCUUACCAGGGCUUGACAUCCCGCGAACCUUGAUGAAAGUCGAGGGUGCCUUCGGGAGCGCGGAGACAGGUGGUGCAUGGCUGUCGUCAGCUCGUGUCGUGAGAUGUUGGGUUAAGUCCCGCAACGAGCGCAACCCACGUCCUUAGUUGCCAUCAUUAAGUUGGGCACUCUGGGGAGACUGCCGGGGACAACUCGGAGGAAGGUGUGGAUGACGUCAAGUCAUCAUGCCCCUUACGUUCUGGGCUACACACGUACUACAAUGCUUCGGACAAAGGGCAGCCAACUAGCGAUAGUGAGCUAAUCCCAUAAACCGAGGCACAGUUCAGAUUGCAGGCUGCAACUCGCCUGCAUGAAGGAGGAAUCGCUAGUAAUCGCCGGUCAGCAUACGGCGGUGAAUACGUUCCCGGGCCUUGCACACACCGCCCGUC
This 662-nucleotide ribosomal RNA is filed under the name uncultured bacterium. RNAcentral's name for it is "bacterial SSU rRNA". It matches the Rfam family "Bacterial small subunit ribosomal RNA", at positions 736 to 1398 of the family's 1533-position model. The record is from RNAcentral.